Molecule: long non-coding RNA, 4297 nt
Organism: Ictalurus punctatus (channel catfish)
Lineage: Eukaryota; Metazoa; Chordata; Actinopteri; Siluriformes; Ictaluridae
Source: Ensembl
UGCAUAUUCACAUAUCAUGUCAUGCUCUAUAACGGUAAAAGUGUAGAAAUGUUCAUGGACUUCUUUUUUUUUUACACAGUGUAUUAUUUGUGUUGUUUAAUCCUUUCGAAAUGUCAUUCUAUGGGCUAAAUUAGAUCGUGUCCGUUUGGGCGUCCCCUACAGCGCGGUCUCAGUGGUCUAAUCCAAAGCGCUCUAACGGUCAAGUGGGAGUAAAACCGGGUGCGUCCCAAACCGCAUCCUAUUCAACUCAAUAGUGUGUUUACUCCAGUACACGUAGGAUAUAUGUAGUUUCAGGAAUACCGUUUUCGGUUUGGGACGCGGCCGCAAUCUCAACCCUAACGUAGGCUCGUAAAACUAGGUAGGAGAUUAAUUCGUCGUUCAAACGAAUACGUUAACAAGUGACCGUUAUUAUUAUUAUUAUUAUUAUUAUUAUUAUUAUUAUUAUUGUGGUUUAAUUCAAACGACGCGCACGCAACGUAACUAGUGUGCGAGUGCCGCUGCGGUUCGCACCUCCGUCGUGUCGUGCACGCGCGCACCCAGGGAGACUGUUUAACGAGUAGAGGAAAUUAGUAACCAUGGAGACGCAGAGAGAGAGAGAGAGAGAGAGUGAGAGAGAGAUAAGGAAACGAGAACAGCAAGGCUAUGACACUUUCACCGUUUAAACGCUAACCGGAACUGCCGGUCACUAUAAACAAACCUAUGGACAGGUUGCCAGGUUCCUACUUUCAGUACCGAGUUAAAGAAACCGCCUUCUGGAUGUUAUUGAUGCCAUUGAGCGACUCUUUCGAGCAAAAGGACCGAAGAUGACCGACAGGGCAGGAGAUAGUGCUGCGGGAGAGGACUCCGGGAUUAUCCGCCGCCGGAGGAUGCAGAAGGAUCUGCCAUUGCCACGGAAGAGCAGCGGGUAACGUACCACCACCAUACCCUGUCGCCACACUAUCCACUUAAGCUUAGUUUAUAUGUCUGUUCAGGAGCUUUUCUGCCUGCACGCGCUUGGAAAUGAAUAAAGUUAGUUAGCUAGUCUGAAGGGUUCUUUUGGUUUGUCCCUCUCAGAGAACCCAUAAAAGAAGGGGUUCUUUUCAUUCCCCCGUUUCCUGAAGGCUAGAACUCUUAACCGUCCAGAAACAAACCCUUUAAACGGAAAAUCUGACAUGUUUCGAACAGGCCGUAAUGCAGUUUUUUAUGUUUUCGAGCGCACAGACACACACACACACACACACACCUGCCAAAAGCCUCAUUUGCUAAUUUAUCUAGUUUGAGACUAAGCCCAUUUUAGUUCCAGCACAAUAACACACUUCAUUUUCUCACUCCAUUAAAAAUAAUCAGUAAAUUGAAUAAUUUCAUAUGCCUAGGAGUGAAGGAGGCGUGGCCUCUGUGCGUCAGUCUCAGUGAAGGAGGCGUGGCCUCUGUGCGUCAGUCUCGGUGAAGGAGGCGUGGCCUCUGUGCGUCAGUCUCGGUGAAGGAUGCGUGGCCUCUGUGUGUCAGUCUCGGUGAAGGAGGCGUGGCCUCUGUGUGUCAGUCUCAAUGAAGGUGUGGCAUCUGUCUGUCAGUCUCAGUGAAGGACUUCUGAAACUUUUUUUUUUUUUUUUUUAACACUCUACUCCGCAUGCCCAGCAUUAAAUCAUAUGUAUCACAGACGAAAGUUUCAUAUUAAUGAAUGCUUUAAGCUAAGAUCAGGGUUUUGUGAGUCAGAAUUCUGGAGAAAAGCCCCCCACAUGAUCUGCCCAUUAAUAUCCAACCAAUCAGGACAAGGAGUAUCUGUAGUUUCUGUCAAUCAUGUGGCCCGAGAGUGUUUUUGGGGGCGUUGUUUUGGAUAGAACAGCGAGGAAAGAGGCUGUAUUUGUUCAGAUUUUGACUUUCUAUCCACUCGCUUUAGCUCACGUCCAGCCAGAUCACUGACCGCACCUUUUAAUGCGUCUUUCGUCUGGUCGUCGAGUACAUAUUAAUACGCCACACGCUGUCAUCUUGGACGCAGAGCAAUACACAGCACACACCUGACACACCGCACCUGGUGCACACGUGAGCUGACCCCGUUUAGGAAGGACACGGUGAUGAGCUGAUGAGCUAGGAACCGUAAACUGAGCAGCAGUGUGGGGUCUCACUGAGACGCUCUCCAUGGUGCUGAACACCGUCCUAGCUCUGUUUUACACACACGCACACACACACAUGACUCCUCAUGUCUGUCUUUCAUGACUGUGUAUAUCCAUGCUUCUUGGUUGUUUUUGUUCUUUGCUGCACCGGUGACUCCGUGAUGAAUCAAUUUUAUUAACUCAAGCUGAAAUAAACAUUUCCACACACUCAUCUCAUUUCAUGAAUCUCAAUGGAGGUGCUCUGUGCAUGUACGUGUGUGUGUGUUCAUUUUUAGCAGGUGCUGCGUUUUGAUCCAUUACUGCCACUGUUCAGGUACCUGCUAAAAGCAACUCUUCAUGAAAGUGCGCACGACAUACAAGCUGACACGGACGUGCACACACGCGCGCGCACACACACACACACACACGCACAGCUGUCUCUCAGUCGCUUAUCAGUAUGCAGUGAAUAAAGCUGUUGGGAAUGAAGCUGGGAUCGUAAUCGUGUGAGCGUUAAAGCAGUGAAGUGUAAACACAUGAUGGAGGAUUGGACGACUCGGUUAUUAACGCACGUGUCAUAAAGCUUCACGAACGAGCGCGCUUAGUCUUACAGCAUGAUCAGAGUUCAGGUCACAUGACUAGACAUUUACUCAAGCUGUAAAUCUUCCAUCUUUAUGCAGACGCUCAUGUUCAUCUGUCUAAAUACGUAUUUCAUAUUUUGAAGUGAAUACAGUCUAUUUUUCAGAAUAGAAAUGAAUUCAUACCUUGUUUUUGUUACGGUAGAUUCUCUGCUGGGUUUAAAUAGAUCAUAUGUAAAAAGGUCACGAUUUAAAUCUAGAUUAUUAAAGGCAGGUUGUUAAAUCCAGAUUAUUAAAGGCCGGUUGUUAAAUCCAGAUGAUUAAAUCCAGGUUAUUAAAUCUGUAUUGUUAAAUCCAGAUGAUUAAAUCCAGGUUAUUAAAUUUAGAUUAUUAAAUCCAGAUCAUUAAAUCCAGAUGAUUUAAAUCCAGGUUAUUAAAUCUAGAUUAUUAAAACCAGAUUAAUUAAAUCCAGAUUAUGAAUCUAGAUUAUUAAAUCCAGGGUCUUAAUCUAGAUUAUUAAAUCCAGGUUAUUAAAUCCAGGGUCUUAAAUCUAGAUUAUUAAAUGCAGAUUAUUAAAUCUAGAUUAUUAAAUCCAGGUUAUUAAAUGCAGGUUGUUAAAUCUAGAUGAUUAAAUCUAGAUUAUUAAAUCCUGAUGAUUUAAAUCCAGGUUCUUAAAUCCAGAUUAUUAAAUGCAGGUUGUUAAAUCUAGAUUAUUAAAUCCAGGUUCUUAAAUCCAGAUUAUUAAAUGCAGGUUGUUAAAUCUAGAUUAUUAAAUCCAGAUUAUUAAAUGCAGGUUAUUAAAUCCAGAUUAUUAAAUGCAGGUUGUUAAAUCUAGAUGAUUAAAUCCAGAUUAUUUAAAUCCAGGUUAUUAAAUCCAGAUUAUUAAGUAUUUAUUUUCAUUUUACACCAAAGCGCUGUUGAAUUCUGGAUUGUGAUUGGUCAGAAGGUGGCGAUUCAUUUUCUAUCAGCAGCUCUGACAGCUCUGCCGACUGACACGUUAUGGUUUCUAUAGUAACCGCUCAUUCGCAGGCCACGUAAUCUAAGCCUAAUACUAAACAGUUGAAAACCUGCCGUUUUUUAACAAAGAAACGAAGGAAUGAAUGUUUAUAGCUGCUAUAACGUAUGCGAUAACAGGAGCUAAAUUGUUUACAGAACAUUCAAAAUGUACAAUAAAUGGAUCAAAAUAUGACGUCUUUCUUUAUGAAACAGUCUUUCUGAUGCUCGGCGAAUUGCUGCGGCGGAAGAGGAAUGAAACGCGCUGCUUUGGGAAAAUAAUCGACUCUGCUUCAUCACAACCUUCCAUUGUUGAUCGUUUUCCUACAGCAGCACGCCCCGAAGUGUUUUAUUCCCGACUUCUUAUGCUGCCUCGACGUUUCAUUUUCUACUCUUGACCUAUUUUGGCCGUGAGAGAGCGAUGAGAAAGUUGUCUGGGAAAUGAAUAUAUGGGUCAGUGUUCAUCUCAUUUUCCCACAUCAGGGACAUGUUAAUUAUUCAAAUUGAAUUUCAACGAUUUGUCAUCAUCAUCUCUGCGUGUGUGCGUGUGUGUGUGCGUGUGUGUGUGCGCGUGCAGUUUGUUAUAGUAGGUCAAAGAGAUGAUGUCACUUCAUAAGCAAUAUGGCAUGGAAAAACAGGCUGAGGGGGGCAGAGAGGGAG